Molecule: ribosomal RNA, 229 nt
Filed under: uncultured bacterium
Lineage: Bacteria
Description: partial 16S ribosomal RNA
Rfam family: Bacterial small subunit ribosomal RNA
Source: RNAcentral
UGGGUGACCUACCUUUCAGUGAAGAAUACCGGCGAGAAAUCGCCGACAAGACUGCAUACGCUCCCUCUCUCAACACGAGGGGGGAGGAAAGCUCUCUUUUUAUCGGGAGGGCGCUGGAAGAUGGGCCUGUGGCCGAUUAGCUAGUUGGGGAGGUAAGAGCUUCCCAAGGCGACGAUCGGUAGCUGGUCUGAGAGGACGAUCAGCCACACUGGGAUUGAGAACGGCCCAG